AUGAUGAUGAAGAUGAUGACGAUGCUCAGGAUACUCAAUUUGCUGCAAAAAUUAGAAAGCAACAAAAAUAUUUCAAAGAGAAAUUUGGUGCAAUUGAUGAUGAAAUUCAUGAUGAUGAGGAAGUAAAUGAUGUAGACAAGAAGGAAGUAUGGGGUGUGAAAAAACCACAGUACUAUGGCGGUCACGACUAUGAGGGAGACUCAAGUGAUGAUGAGGCACUUAAAGAAGAGGAGGAAGAGAUUUUGAGAAUGCAGAGGGAAAAGUCAAAGAAUUUAUCCAUGGAAGACUUUGGGCUUGAAAGUUUUGGUGAUGAUGAGAGCAAUAGGGAAUUAACCAUGGAGGAACUUUCAGUUAAAGGAAAAAGCAAAGCAAAAGAUUCAUUGCUCAAAGAAGUUGUGGAUAAUGUGGAGACUUUUGAGGUUCGAAAGGAUUUGAAUGCUUUGUCUAGAGAGGAACAAAUGGAAGUUGUGUAUAGUUCUGCGCCAGAAUUAGUAGGUUUGCUUUCUGAGCUAAACAGUGCACUUGAAGAACUUGAAAGUAGAGUUAAUCCUCUAUUAAGCAUGGUUAAAAUGGGUGGAAUUAUACUGGAAGGUGGAGUACGCUAUUUGGAGGUGAAGCAGCUUCUGUUACUGUCCUACUGCCAAGCCAUAACAUUCUAUCUUCUUCUCAAGUCUGAAGGACAUCCAGUCCGUGAUCAUCCUGUUAUAGCUCGUCUUGUAGAGAUCAAGGGCUUAUUAGAUAAGGUGAAACAGCUUGAUGGGAAUCUUCCAUCAGAAAUUGAGGAGUUUCUAAAGAAAAAUUCUGAGGCUGAAACAGAGAAAAAUAAAAUCACUGGAAGUGUUGCACCUGUUAUUGCAUCUGAAUCUGUCAGAAAAGAUUAUAGCUCUUCUCUUGCCUCAGCUGAACCUGAUGCAAAAGAACCAGCGGAGGUGUUAUAAAAUGCAAUUCUUGUUUAAUCAUUUUUUGUUUGUUUAUCAUUUAAUUUGAUUUUUCUUUUUCAUACUACAGCGUUGUAGCACUCAUGAGUUGGUAAAAAAGGAGGCUUCACAGGAUCAUGUGAACAAAGAGAAAAAACAUAAAUGCAAGAUUGAUCAAGUUGGUUUCCAAAGCAUGGAAAUGUUAAAAGCAAGAGCUGCACUUGAAGAAAAAUUAAAACAGGAUGGAGUUUUUAGUUCCUUUGCUCCAAAGCUUAAGAAAGCAAAGAAACGUGCAAAAUCAGUGGAUGGACAAUUUCAAACAUAUGAUGAUUUCGAUGAUGAUACUUUAGAUGCUGAGAAAGGAAAUCAUGGAUUGAGAAUGUUGAGUUCAAAUAAACUCUCACAGCUUGUUUCUGCUAAACCAAAUAAAUUGAAGGUCAUUUCUGGUGAUGAUGAUGUACCUAAGAGAGAUGACAUUGGAGAAAGAAGAAGGAAACAUGAGCUCAAAGUGUUGGCCGGUGCUGGAAUCAAGUCUGAGGAUGAGGCUGUAAAUGAACUUGGUGCACUUGAGACUGAUGAAGCCUCUGACAUGGAGGAGGAUGGUGAUGCAGGAGUUUCAGAAGAUGAAUUCUACAAAGAAACAAAGGAAAAGAGGGAUGCAAAAAUAGCCGCUAAAGCUAAAAUCUAUACAAGGAACCCAACAGUCCCAUCUUUGCCUGAAAUCGUUGAUGGAAAACGGCAAAUCACUUACCAGAUUGAGAAGAACAAAGGUCUGACCCGUCCACGGAAAAAAGACUUGAAAAAUCCAAGGAAGAAAUACAGGACAAAGCAUGAUAAACAAGUGAAACGACGUAAAGGCCAAGUGCAGCAGAUCAAGAAACCUAUUGGUCCUUACGGUGGCGAAUUGUCUGGAAUCAACACAGGAAUUAGUCGAAGCAUCAGAUUUUGAAACGAAGUUGCAUGUUGCUUUUGCAACUAAUUCUGUUUGACAAUCAGAAAAGAUUUGCUGGAUCAUGUAUCAUUCAAGUCUUUUCAUAUUGAAAUCUCCAACAUGGCUGCAUAUCUUCUUUGGGGGAAAUGUGAAACUUGGUUUUUUCAGUCUCACUUCCCUUGUAUCAGAAUACUUGAAAUUCAAGUGGUAGUGUCAUUUAGUAGAUAUUAUCUUCGGCUUAUUUUGUGAUGACAGCUUAUGCAGGGGUAUGAAAAUUUUGUUUGGCCUCUCUUGGGUAAUCAGAAUAUUUUAAGACAAUUGCUAUAUUGUACGGUUCAUGCUAUAUCUAACUUGUUUGAUAUGAAAUGAAGAAGCAUAUAGGUCUUAGUAAGAUAAGGGGCUUAAGAAUGAACACUGGGAAAACUUGAGCUUACCUGUUGCUGAUUUGAGUUACACUUCAUUUCUG
Molecule: unclassified non-coding RNA, 2314 nt
Filed under: Hevea brasiliensis (rubber tree)
Lineage: Eukaryota; Viridiplantae; Streptophyta; Magnoliopsida; Malpighiales; Euphorbiaceae
Source: RNAcentral